CAAGAAACCCUACGGCAUUACUCCCCGGAGUAUUGCCGCUAGGUUAUUUCACAACCCUUUGUUGUCCGACUCUGUUGCCUCCGGGGCGACCCUGCCUUCGGGCGGGGGCUCCGGGUGGACACUUCAAACUCUUGCGUAACUUUGCAGUCUGAGUAAACUUAAUUAAUAAAUUA
This 173-nucleotide unclassified non-coding RNA is filed under the name uncultured Ascomycota. RNAcentral's name for it is "sequence contains ITS1". Lineage: Eukaryota; Fungi; Ascomycota. The record is from RNAcentral.